GACGAACCGUGCGAACGUUAUUCGGAAUCACUGGGCUUAAAGCGCGUGUAGGCGGCCCGGCACGUCCGUCGCUGAAAUCCCCCGGCUCAACCGGGGAAGUGGCGUGGAUACGACCGUCCUGGAGGGACGUAGGGGGACCUGGAACAUCCGGUGGAGCGGUGAAAUGCGUUGAGAUCGGAAGGAACGCCCGUGGCGAAAGCGAGGUCCUGGACGUUUUCUGACGCUGAGACGCGAAAGCCAGGGGAGCGAACGGG
Molecule: ribosomal RNA, 254 nt
Filed under: uncultured bacterium
Lineage: Bacteria
Description: partial 16S ribosomal RNA
Rfam family: Bacterial small subunit ribosomal RNA
Source: RNAcentral